RNAcentral lists this long non-coding RNA (294 nucleotides) under Taeniopygia guttata (zebra finch). RNAcentral describes it as "lncRNA (ENSTGUG00000023464.1)". Lineage: Eukaryota; Metazoa; Chordata; Aves; Passeriformes; Estrildidae. The record is from RNAcentral.
CAGACUGCUUGGGAGGCUAAAAGGAAAUGGCAUUCAGAAGGAAGUUAAAAAAGGAGGACAACAAAGGAGCACAGGUAGGUCUUUUUCAAGUGCUGUUUCUAAAAUGAAAAAAUCAAAAUUAACUAACCUUAUGGCAAAAGUUGACUUAGAGUACAAAAAUCUGAGUUUUCUUCUAUCUUCUUGUCUUCACUGAGCCUUUAACUGUAAGUAUCCCUAUGCUUGCAUGAUUUAUCUCUGACAGUGGUGUAGGAGACAGAAGACUUUGAAAGGAGACUUUAAAGUCAAUAGUGCAAU